AUUGAACGCUGGCGGCAGGCCUAACACAUGCAAGUCGAGCGGAUGAAGGGAGCUUGCUCCUGGAUUCAGCGGCGGACGGGUGAGUAAUGCCUAGGAAUCUGCCUGGUAGUGGGGGAUAACGUCCGGAAACGGGCGCUAAUACCGCAUACGUCCUGAGGGAGAAAGUGGGGGGUCUUCGGACCUCACGCUAUCAGAUGAGCCUAGGUCGGAUUAGCUAGUUGGUGGGGUAAAGGCCUACCAAGGCGACGAUCCGUAACUGGUCUGAGAGGAUGAUCGGGCACACUGGAACUGAGACACGGUCCAUAGUCCUACGGGAGGCAGCAGUGGCGAAUAUUGGACAAUGGGCGAAAGCCUGAUCCAGCCACGCCGCGUGUGUCAAGACGGUUUUCGGAUUGUAAAGCACUUUAAGUUGGGAGGAAGGGCAGUAAGUGAAUACCGUGCUUCUUUGACGUUACCAAGAGAAUAAGGUCCGGCUAACUUCGUG
This 484-nucleotide ribosomal RNA is filed under the name uncultured bacterium. RNAcentral's name for it is "partial 16S ribosomal RNA". It matches the Rfam family "Bacterial small subunit ribosomal RNA", at positions 30 to 507 of the family's 1533-position model. The record is from RNAcentral.